UGCAGUCGAACGGGAUCCCUGGCAGCUUGCUGUCGGGGUGAGAGUGGCGAACGGGUGAGUAAUGCGUGACCAACCUGCCCUGUGCACCGGAAUAGCUCCUGGAAACGGGUGGUAAUACCGGAUGCUCCGCUCCAUCGCAUGGUGGGGUGGGAAAUGCUUUUGCGGCAUGGGAUGGGGUCGCGUCCUAUCAGCUUGUUGGCGGGGUGAUGGCCCACCAAGGCGUUGACGGGUAGCCGGCCUGAGAGGGUGACCGGCCACAUUGGGACUGAGAUACGGCCCAGACUCCUACGGGAGGCAGCAGUGGGGAAUAUUGCACAAUGGGCGCAAGCCUGAUGCAGCGACGCCGCGUGCGGGAUGGAGGCCUUCGGGUUGUAAACCGCUUUUGUUCAAGGGCAAGGCACGGUUUCGGCCGUGUUGAGUGGAUUGUUCGAAUAAGCACCGGCUAC
Molecule: ribosomal RNA, 446 nt
Filed under: Bifidobacterium animalis
Lineage: Bacteria; Bacillati; Actinomycetota; Actinomycetes; Bifidobacteriales; Bifidobacteriaceae
Description: bacterial SSU rRNA
Rfam family: Bacterial small subunit ribosomal RNA
Source: RNAcentral